UUGAACGCUGAUGGUAUGCUUAACACAUGCAAGUCGAGCGCUGCAGCAAUGCGGAGCGGCGGACGGGUGAGUAACGCGUAGGAAUCUGCCUUUUGGAGGGGGACAACCCAGGGAAACUUGGGCUAAUACCGCAUAAUACCUAAGGGUUAAAGGCUUCGGCCACCAAAAGAUGAGCCUGCGUUGGAUUAUGCUAGUAGGUUGGGUAAAGGCUGACCUAGGCGACGAUCCAUAGCUGUUCUGAGAGGAAGAUCAGCCACACUGGGACUGAGACACGGCCCAGACUCCUACGGGAGGCAGCAGUGGGGAAUAUUGGACAAUGGGGGCAACCCUGAUCCAGCAAUACCAUGUGUGUGAAGAAGGCCUUAGGGUUGUAAAGCACUUUUGUCAAUGAGGAAGGUCGUGGUAACACGGCUUGACGUUAGUUGAAGAAAAAGCACCGGCUAACUCUGU
This 450-nucleotide ribosomal RNA is filed under the name uncultured bacterium. RNAcentral describes it as "bacterial SSU rRNA". It matches the Rfam family "Bacterial small subunit ribosomal RNA", at positions 30 to 506 of the family's 1533-position model. The record is from RNAcentral.